AACGAACGCUGGCGGCAGGCUUAACACAUGCAAGUCGAGCGCCCCGCAAGGGGAGCGGCAGACGGGUGAGUAACGCGUGGGAACGUACCCUUUGCUACGGAAUAGCUCCGGGAAACUGGAAUUAAUACCGUAUGUGCCCUACGGGGAAAAGAUUUAUCGGCAAAGGAUCGGCCCGCGUUGGAUUAGCUAGUUGGUGGGGUAAUGGCCUACCAAGGCGACGAUCCAUAGCUGGUCUGAGAGGAUGAUCAGCCACAUUGGGACUGAGACACGGCCCAAACUCCUACGGGAGGCAGCAGUGGGGAAUAUUGGACAAUGGGCGCAAGCCUGAUCCAGCCAUGCCGCGUGAGUGAUGAAGGCCUUAGGGUUGUAAAGCUCUUUCACCGGAGAAGAUAAUGACGGUAUCCGGAGAAGAAGCCCCGGCUAACUUCGUGCCAGCCGCCGCCGUAA
Molecule: ribosomal RNA, 447 nt
Filed under: uncultured bacterium
Lineage: Bacteria
Description: partial 16S ribosomal RNA
Rfam family: Bacterial small subunit ribosomal RNA
Source: RNAcentral